GAAUGGAAUGAUGAUUAUUUGUUUUCCUAUUGGUUUGAUUGCCUGAAUGAUGGCAUUUUUUUGUAUUAGCUCUAUCUGACCAUUC
Molecule: small nucleolar RNA, 85 nt
Filed under: Medicago truncatula (barrel medic)
Lineage: Eukaryota; Viridiplantae; Streptophyta; Magnoliopsida; Fabales; Fabaceae
Description: Small nucleolar RNA Z102/R77
Rfam family: Small nucleolar RNA Z102/R77
About the family: Z102 and R77 and are members of the C/D class of snoRNA which contain the C (UGAUGA) and D (CUGA) box motifs. Most of the members of the box C/D family function in directing site-specific 2'-O-methylation of substrate RNAs.
Source: Rfam by way of RNAcentral